Molecule: non-coding RNA, 84 nt
Organism: Desmophyllum pertusum
Lineage: Eukaryota; Metazoa; Cnidaria; Anthozoa; Scleractinia; Caryophylliidae
Source: the annotation of a GenBank genome assembly
GGCACGGUGGCCAAAUGGUUAGCGGCGUUGGACUCCAGAUCGAGCAGGUCCUGGGUUCGAGCCCUGGCCAGGUUCACUGUGUUU